Molecule: ribosomal RNA, 375 nt
Filed under: uncultured bacterium
Lineage: Bacteria
Description: bacterial SSU rRNA
Rfam family: Bacterial small subunit ribosomal RNA
Source: RNAcentral
UAAUACAGAGGUGGCAAGCGUUGUUCGGAAUUACUGGGCGUAAAGGGCGCGUAGGCGGUCUUGUCAGUCCCUUGUGAAAUCCCCCGGCUCAACUGGGGAACUGCAAGGGAAACAGCAGGGCUUGAGUUCGGGAGAGGGAAGCGGAAUUCCGGGUGUAGCGGUGAAAUGCGUAGAUAUCCGGAGGAACACCGGUGGCGAAGGCGGCUUCCUGGACCGACACUGACGCUGAGGCGCGAAAGCUAGGGGAGCAAACGGGAUUAGAUACCCCGGUAGUCCUAGCUGUAAACGAUGAGUGCUAGUUGUCGGCAUGCAUGCAUGUCGGUGACGCAGCUAACGCAUUAAGCACUCCGCCUGGGGAGUACGGUCGCAAGAUUA